Molecule: long non-coding RNA, 536 nt
Organism: Bradysia coprophila
Lineage: Eukaryota; Metazoa; Arthropoda; Insecta; Diptera; Sciaridae
Source: RefSeq, a predicted model, not a curated record
CUAUGAAUGUCGGACGUAGUGUGAUCCGAAAACUCAUAAGUUCCUAAAACGUAGUACACACGAAAUAUGACAGUUCAACCUUGUCCUUUUUAAUGGCAAUUGUACAAUAACAACAAAUUAAUAAUUUUCCAAAAACUUAAAGUCGAAAUUCUUAAAAUUGAAAAUCUUUUUCUGAAUUGAUUAUGAGAAAAUCUAGAGUGUCAUUUGAGGUAAAUUACAGUUCAACAUUCUGUUCACGUUUGCCGUCAACUGCCAAAUCGAUAUUUUUUAUGUCUUCGAGUUCAGAUGACCUAUUCUCGACUAUGACUGCAAGACCAUUUGGUACAGUGAGUCUGAGACAAAAGAAAUUUACAAAACCAUUCAGCACUCUUCGAAGUAAUAAAGUCGAACCGAAUCUUAAAAGAAUUGAACUUGACAAGGAUAAGCGACAGUAUACUAAAUUCAGGAAGAGAUCGGAAACUUUAACUGAAUUUGAAAAAAGUCCUAUAUUUGAACAUGAACCCCAUUGUCCUCUCUUUAAAGUAAAACAAAAUUCU